UACGGAGGGUGCGAGCGUUGUUCGGAAUCACUGGGCGUAAAGCACGUGUAGGCGGCCUCCCAAGUCUGAUGUGAAAGCCCGGGGCUCACCCCCGGAAGUGCAUUGGAAACUGUGAGGCUCGAGUCCCGGAGAGGAGGGUGGAAUUCCUGGUGUAGCAGUGAAAUGCGCAGAUAUCAGGAGGAACACCGGUGGCGAAGGCGGUUCUCUGGGCCUGUUCUGACGCUGAGGAGCGAAAGCGUGGGGAGCGAAC
Molecule: ribosomal RNA, 250 nt
Filed under: uncultured bacterium
Lineage: Bacteria
Description: partial 16S ribosomal RNA
Rfam family: Bacterial small subunit ribosomal RNA
Source: RNAcentral